AAACUGGAGAGUUUGAUCCUGGCUCAGAGCGAACGUUUGCGGCGGGCCUAACACAUGCAAGUCGAACGGGCUGUCCCCUCGGGGGCAGUCAGUGGCGCACGGGUGCGUAACACGUAGGUAAUCAACCCUCGAGUUCGGGAUAACACUUCGAAAGGAGUGCUAAUACCGGAUACGACGGGCAGCUCCUCGGAGCUGCACGGGAAAGACCCGCAAGGGUUGCCCGAGGACGAGCCUGCGGCCCAUCAGCUAGUUGGCGAGGUAAAAGCUCACCAAGGCUAAGACGGGUAGCUGGUCUGAGAGGAUGAUCAGUCACACUGGAACUGAGACACGGUCCAGACUCCUACGGGAGGCAGCAGUGGGGAAUAUUGCGCAAUGGGCGAAAGCCUGACGCAGCCACGCCGCGUGAGCGAUGAAGGCCCGAGGGUCGUAAAGCUCUGUCGGGAGGGAAGAAGUUCUGACGGUACCUCCCAAGAAAGCACCGGCUAACUCCGUGCCA
RNAcentral lists this ribosomal RNA (496 nucleotides) under Myxococcales bacterium. RNAcentral's name for it is "bacterial SSU rRNA". It matches the Rfam family "Bacterial small subunit ribosomal RNA", at positions 1 to 510 of the family's 1533-position model. The record is from RNAcentral. Lineage: Bacteria; Pseudomonadati; Myxococcota; Myxococcia; Myxococcales.